CCUACGGGAUGCAGCAGUAGGGAAUUUUGCGCAAUGGGCGAAAGCCUGAAGCAGCAACGCCGCGUGGAGGAUGAAGGUUUUCGGAUUGUAAACUCCUUUUGUUAGAGAAGAUAAUGACGGUAUCUAACGAAUAAGCACCGGCUAACUCCGUGCCAGCAGCCGCGGUAAUACGGAGGGUGCAAGCGUUACUCGGAAUCACUGGGCGUAAAGAGCGCGUAGGCGGGAUAGCAAGUCAGAUGUGAAAUCCUAUGGCUUAACCAUAGAACUGCAUUUGAAACUGUUAUUCUAGAGUAUGGGAGGGGUAGGUGGAAUUCUUGGUGUAGGGGUAAAAUCCGUAGAGAUCAAGAGGAAUACUCAUUGCGAAGGCGACCUGCUAGAACAUAACUGACGCUGAUGCGCGAAAGCGUGGGGAGCAAACAGGAUUAGAUACCCCUGUAGUC
Molecule: ribosomal RNA, 440 nt
Filed under: uncultured bacterium
Lineage: Bacteria
Description: partial 16S ribosomal RNA
Rfam family: Bacterial small subunit ribosomal RNA
Source: RNAcentral